AACAUUCAUGUUAACUCUGUCAGUCUUUGGACUCUACCAAGCUAAUAUCCAAUUCCAAGUGAAUAUGAGCAAUUUUGUAUGUGAGAAGCUUGCAAAAAGGUCACAAUGGCAUGAAGGUAGUUCUUUUGACCCGUCACUCCCUAACACGGUAUAGGUAACUUUAAGCAGAGCUUUUGGGCAGCAUUCUGCACACCUGAUAAGGUAGGGAAGGAUUAAUACUUCACCAGCCUUAUCACCAAACCUGGACUCAUAGUCAACAGCUGGUCAUAUUCACUCCUUGUCAUUCACUUGCAUUGCUUUAGGUGCCUCAUUGUCUCAUCUCCCAGAGCACCUCAGUGAACUGACAGUAAAUUGUUGGGGGUAGGAAAGCAGUUCCUGAAAAGAUCCUUUACCUCCAGAUAAGUUGCCAAAUAAAGUUGUCAGAGCAAACAAUUGGGCAGAUCUUACCUACUGCUUUUCUGUGACUACUGCUGAGCAACAGUCAUGGUUUCAUUUCUAAAUCUAUCCUUCUUUUUAGCAAAAGCAGAGACCUUUCCAGCUUAAAUGACCUUGAAACUUGCAGCAUGUCCAGACAUCAAAACUUCCUAACAGAGAUACAAAUAGAGCAGAACCCUACUUAUGUUGAACCCAUCUCGUCACAUCAUUAC
Candoia aspera is the source of this 647-nucleotide long non-coding RNA. RefSeq lists it as uncharacterized. The record is from RefSeq and is a predicted model, not a curated record. NCBI's taxonomy places the organism in Eukaryota, Metazoa, Chordata, Lepidosauria, Squamata, Candoiidae. The transcript has 4 exons.